AGGGUGUAAACGCUGCAGACUUGGUGUUGGGAACCCUUCGGGGGUGCUCAGUGCCGGAGAGAAGUUGUUAAGUCUGCUACUUGGGGAGUACGUCCGCAAGGAUGAAACUUAAAGGAAUUGGCGGGGGAGCACCGCAACGGGAGGAGCGUGCGGUUUAAUUGGAUUCAACGCCGAAAAACUCACCAGCAGCGACUGUUACAUGAAAGUCAGGUAGAUGACCUUACUAGAUUUUCAGAGAGGUGGUGCAUGGCGUCAGUGACU
RNAcentral lists this ribosomal RNA (261 nucleotides) under uncultured archaeon. RNAcentral's name for it is "partial 16S ribosomal RNA". It matches the Rfam family "Archaeal small subunit ribosomal RNA", at positions 748 to 1008 of the family's 1478-position model. The record is from RNAcentral.